Molecule: RNA transcript, 1389 nt
Organism: Panicum hallii
Lineage: Eukaryota; Viridiplantae; Streptophyta; Magnoliopsida; Poales; Poaceae
Gene name: peptide deformylase 1A, chloroplastic
Exons: 6
Source: RefSeq, a predicted model, not a curated record
CCCUGCUAGCUACCGAGAAGAUGGUCGCGCUUCUCCGCCCAUUCUCCGCCGCCGCUGCCGCCACCCUCUUCCUCGCCCCCGCCGGGCCGCUCACUGGUUCCGCAGUGGCCGCUAGUGCUGCCAGCGGCAGGCGGUGGCGAAGCGUGAGGACGAACGCCGGCGGGGGCUGGCUGUCCGGGCUGUUGGGCGGCAAGGGCGGUGGCGCGCCCACGGCGAUGACGGUGACUCCGGGGACCGUGAAGGCCGGUGACCCGGUGCUGCAUGAGCCGGCACAGGAGGUGGCGCUUGGUGACGUGCGGUCCGAGAAGGUCCAGGGCAUCAUCGACCGGAUGAUCGACAUCAUGCGCAAGGCCCCCGGCGUCGGCCUUGCCGCUCCGCAGAUAGGCGUCCCGCUCAGGAUUAUUGUUCUCGAGGAUACCCAAGAGUACAUCAGUUAUGCACCCAAGAAGGACAUCGAAGCGCAAGAUCGCCAUCCUUUUGAUCUUCUUGUUAUUAUUAAUCCCAAGCUUAAGAACACUAGCAAAAACAGUGCACUUUUCUUCGAGGGUUGUCUGAGUGUUGAUGGAUAUAGGGCGGUCGUUGAGCGAUAUCUAGAUGUUGAAGUUUCAGGUUUGGACCGAAAUGGCAGCCCCAUUAAGGUACAGGCCUCAGGAUGGCAAGCACGCAUCCUGCAACACGAAUGUGACCAUCUUGAAGGCACUCUGUAUGUUGACAAGAUGGUCCCAAGGACAUUCAGAAUUGUUGAUAACUUGGAUCUGCCGCUUCCCAUUGGAUGCCCUCCACUAGGUGCAAGAUAAUGUGUAUCGCUUGCAAUCUUUCCUCAUCAAUUAGAGUAGCAUUCCUAUUGAAAUAUGAGAAUCAUUACUACAUACCCUCUGAUCCAAACUAUAAGUGGGCAUCUGCAUAGUCUACAAGGGGCGCUCAAAGAUGAUGAAGAUCAAUAGAAUUACUGUAAACUAUGGUUAUUACUUGGAUUGGCUUUUAUAUGAUUGGUCCCCUUUGGUGGCUUGGAAUUUUAGUAUACUCUAAGAAAUAAACUAUCAGAAGGAACCAUAUGAUAGAUUCAGCAUCAUUGUGUGGUCACAGGAAUUCAUGUGUCUUCGAGGGAUUGACCCCGAAUCUGCAGCGAGCUCUUCAAGCUUUCAAGGAGGAAUUCCUUCUAUGGGGUUUCGCUGGGGCUAAAGGGCUUGCUGCCUUGAACCCCGGAAGGUUGGUUGAGCAAGUGUAGAUUGCAGUAGGCACUGUUUGGUCAGGUCCUAGUUUCAGUUUUGUAACAGUUUUGUAUCGGUUUUUACAGCCCUCCCCCUGGUCCAAGGAGAGGUGCUGGAUUGUAAAUUGGACUAACCUCUUUUCCUCUUAAUACAAAGAUACGCAGCUCUCCUGCGUGUU